UAGUUUUCAUUGGUCUGAAAUGGUAACUGACCGUUGCUGGUACUAACUUAUAUCCGCAGAGCAGAUUUACAAAAUAAUGCAGCACUUGUAUGAACUAAAAGCAAAUUAAUUAGCAAUCCUUUAAUCCUUGUCUUUAAAUAUUAGCAUCGUACAAACUCGAUCAAAAUUGGUUGCAAGGCGUUUAAAUUUAAAUCCGGUAAUGUCAUUAAUUACACGCAUAAUAUGAUAUUGAUAGAGAACUUUCCUCUCUGCACAUGAUACACUUUUAUAUAUGUAUGUAAGAGUUAGUGUGUCUUAUUUCCGUAUUGAAAUCCGCUGAGCUUGAGCAGAUGGAGUGGAGAAAUGCAGUGUUGUUGAGCAAGGAAAGUGGGGAAAGUAGAGGCGUAAUAAUAUUCCGAGUCCCGUUUGUUGGUGGGGGAAAAGCAGCCUCAAAUCCCUCCGACUCUUCUUCUUCUUUCUGGUGCGUAGAGAAUCUCCUUCUGUCUGUAGCCAAUCGCUUCUCUUUUUCGGUGCAAAAUCCCGUCUCCACUCCGAGUCUUGCAUUAUUGAUCACGGUGCACUUAGGGAAAGGAAGGCUUUCUUGAUCUCUCUGCUUUUGGUGACUUACAAUUUUCGUAAUUCCUUUAUCUCCUCGUAAUAUAAGCGUCUUUCAGUUUUAAAAGAAGUUGGCAGGAUUAAUUGGUCAUCAUGGGUUGAAUUUUUACAUAGGAUAGCUUCGUGUGGCGAGCACGAAUUGUACAUUUAGAUCCUCGUCCUUUCGACAUGUAUCGUGCAUUCAUUCACUAUAAAAAAUUAAGCAAUGUAGUCAUCAAUUAGUACACGAAUAAAUUAGGUAGGAAUUAUGUGAGAUUAGCAGACAAUAAAGUCGGGGUAUACAAGUCUUCCAUUUUGUAUCAAUGUAAUAUAUUUAUUAGUAUAAUAUAAAUGCAACCAAGUCUUCCAAUAAGAAACAAAUAUUAAGAUAACGACAAUAAUUAUACCAAAUAAGUAAGUGAAAAAUGUCUUCCAGCAACGACAAAGUAAACGGCGAUAGAUUAGGUGGUAGCGAUAUGGCAGACGAAGAAAUAGAUUUAAAGAAAGGUAUAGAUAUCCGCACAAAAGCCGAAGAGCUUUCUCCUUCACAAUCAUCCCUGAGCAUUUGCCAACCUAGAGAUGAGUAUAACUCUCAACUUGUUUUAGAGAAGGUUAUAAAGAGCAGUAUUGAAAUUGACGAGAAUAUUGUGAAAGAGAUAAUCAAACCAUCUAGAAGGAGACAUAAUAGUCGAUCGAAAAGCAGGUCUACAAAAAUUCAUGACAGGAAACACGAAAGAGGUCGUCGGCAUAAUACACAGUCUAAUCAUCUCCAAGAAGAGUGUAGAUUCAUAUUAAUUGCUGCGCCACCGGUAACUUGUUACUGCUGCUGUCACCGACGAAAGAGAAGAGCAAAAGAUAGUCACGAGUUUUCCUUGGCACAAGAGCAGAAGAACACAAGGGCCAAGGACGCGUUUGGGAUUAGGAAAGACUUUAUUCCAGGACAGUCAUUGGAGGGAAGGAACAACAUGCCCAAAGAAUUGCAGGAUAUUCCCGACACCGUGUCCACUGCUAUCCCUGUUCCCUCAGUAUCAAAAGAAAAGUCACCAGAGAGGGAAAAGGCAAAGAAAAGGAAAAAGUCACACAAACGGAGUAAGCGAUCGAGUUCCAGUGGAUCGUCCUCAUCGGAUGAAGAAUCUCGCCCUAAGAAGAGAAAGAAGGAAAAGAAGAAAAAAUCCAAAAAGUCCCAUCGCCACAAUAGGACAGAUUUGUCUUCCAAAAGAAGUCGCAAAAAUAGUGAAGCAGAGUCAGAAGAAAUUGAUGGAAACAGAAAUGUCACCAGAAAGUCGACCCCUGUAAUAUCUGCUCCUUCGUCAACUUGUUGUAUAUCGAUAGCUAGCAGUGAAAGCUCAAGUGAUUCUAAUCAUUCUCAAGCUAAGCAUUAUUCAGAGUCGGAGGAAGAUGUAAAUUCAAAAUACUCGUUAUCAGUUGUGGACUUUUCUGGACAUCAUAAAUAUUACCCCUCACUAUCUAAAACUUUGAAAACCAACGGAAAACAACUGUCUCCUGUUGAAGCAUUCCAAAGAGCAUGCAUCCCACUACUCGCAAGCGUAAUUGACCAAAGUAGUCCCACUUUUCAUGUUCCAGUCAAUGGAAACAAUACCAGUGUACUCAACCACGGAAAUCAUCAUCAUUCCGACCGAUCCAGAUCAAGUAGUUCAGACUCAAAUUACUCAUCAAGAUCUCAUUCCAGAAGGCUUACUACCCGACAUUCAAAAUCUCGAUCUGGGUCACGUGAAAAAUCAUGUUCCCAUUCUGUCGCGUCAUCUCACAGAUCCGUUCCAAGCAGAAAAUCUAGAUCCAAGUCACGUGACAAAAAAUCAAAAUCUCAAAGUCGUAGUGUCAGUUCUCAUUCCCGAUCGAGAUCCGUCUCAAGAAAUCGAAGCAUAUCUUCUAGAAGUCAUUCUGCUUCAAGUCAUUCAUCAAAACAGUCGUCAUCAAGGUCUCGUUCUCGCAAUAGUUCCAUUCGAUCAACAACGCCUCAAUCUCCAAAAUCAGAUGACCGAUCUCGAAAAUCUCGAUCUCCGUCAAUUCCAAGACGAAGGGGUUCUCCUUCUUUUAUGGAAAGACGACGUAUUACUAGAUCCAGUGAUAGUGAUUGAGUCAUGCUGUAUUCCAGACUUUUGUUGCUGCUAUCCCUGAUUAUUAUAUGUCCUUAUAUUUUCUGUUUUAUUAUUAUUUAAAAGUGUUAUACUUUCUAUUCCUAUUUUAAGUUGUCGUUUAAUGUAGUACUUCUUGUAGCAAUAUUGUUAUUAUAAUUUAAGCUUUUGUAUUAUUUAUAGACGGGAACAAUUAUUUUCAUAAAGUUCAACAUUGGUAAAAUAAAUAAGUUAAUUGUUUUUUUUUAUACUUUGGCAUGUAAGUUUUGUGCAUGAAUGAAUUAGCAAUGAUAUGAAUAUUCUUGAGCUAACGAGAAUUAUGUGCUUAUUAUUGUAUUGUUGAGUGGAUAUGAUUGAACACGUGGAGGAGAAGUUGAAAUAUUUUCCUGCUCACCGUCGUAAGUAUAACAUUGCUUUCGCGUAUUUCUAAACUUUCUUUCGACCCUGCAAGGGGCAGAGGGCGAAAACUGGGUCAAACAUAACUUUUAAAUGCCGAUUUUUUCUGAAUCUUUUCAUCUUACUCUUAUUUUUUUAACAGAGAGGAAAAGUUGAUUGGGUUAGCCCUAACUUUCACUUUGCUAGACUAAAAAAUUUAAGAACUCGAGGGUCGAGCAGAAACAGUUUUAUAUUUAUAGCGACGUCCAAAUUCUCCUCCAAGUGCACAAUCCGCCCUUAAUUGAGCUUUCGCUCGAAAGCGGCCUGUAAAAUAUAAUCGGAAAGACGCCGUGGAUUGGAACAUUUCAUCCUCCUCAGGUUCUGAUGACUAACAACAACAAUAACGCUUCUAGUCUUUUGAUUCUAUAUCUUUCUCCCUAAUGGACAUUAAUUAACGGUUGAUUUUUCUUCAGUAAAACAAUUUUAUUCUAACUCAGCAAUUGAAAACCUAGUCAAAUUUACGCCAUACAUUGUUUGCAUCUGUCAUUCUCCUAUAUUUGUGCAAACAGUCUAGCAUAGUAAAAUAUGAGACAAUUUACUCUGUCUUAUGUUCGAUCCUAGUCAUGUAUGUAUUUCGUUCUGAUGUUAUAUGCACGUACAUUCUUGAUGCUUCCAAAAUGAAAUAAAUAAACAUUUUCUGCA
This is an RNA transcript of Folsomia candida, 3746 nucleotides long. It is a transcript of the gene named serine/arginine repetitive matrix protein 2, with no coding region annotated. The transcript is spliced from 7 exons. The record is from RefSeq and is a predicted model, not a curated record. NCBI's taxonomy places the organism in Eukaryota, Metazoa, Arthropoda, Collembola, Entomobryomorpha, Isotomidae.